GCAGCCAUCAUUUAAAGAAAGCGUAAUAGCUCACUGGUCGAGUCGGCCUGCGCGGAAGAUGUAACGGGGCUAAACCAUGCACCGAAGCUGCGGCAGCGAACGUAUCACUUAAAGCGAUUCAGCGGGUUACGAUUGACGGAGCGAAGCGACGUCAAAGCGUAUACAAAGUCGAGUCGGUUUAAGGAUACGUUCGUUGGGUAGGGGAGCGUUCUGUAAGCCUGUGAAGGUGGCCUGUGAGGGUUGCUGGAGGUAUCAGAAGUGCGAAUGCUGACAUAAGUAACGAUAAAGCGGGUGAAAAGCCCGCUCGCCGGAAGACCAAGGGUUCCUGUCCAACGUUAAUCGGGGCAGGGUGAGUCGACCCCUAAGGCGAGGCCGAAAGGCGUAGUCGAUGGGAAACGGGUUAAUAUUCCCGUACUUGGUGUUACUGCGAAGGGGGGACGGAGAAGGCUAUGUUGGCCGGGCGACGGUUGUCCCGGUUUAAGCGUGUAGGCUGGUUUUCCAGGCAAAUCCGGAAAAUCAAGGCUGAGGCGUGACGACGAGGCACUACGGUGCUGAAGCAACAAAUGCCCUGCUUCCAGGAAAAGCCUCUAAGCAUCAGGUAACAUCAAAUCGUACCCCAAA
Molecule: ribosomal RNA, 621 nt
Filed under: Salmonella enterica subsp. enterica serovar Anatum
Lineage: Bacteria; Pseudomonadati; Pseudomonadota; Gammaproteobacteria; Enterobacterales; Enterobacteriaceae
Description: partial 23S ribosomal RNA
Rfam family: Bacterial large subunit ribosomal RNA
Source: RNAcentral